AGGUCAAGCUACUAAGAGCGUAGAGUGGAUGCCUUGGCACCGAGAGCCGAUGAAGGACGUGGUAAGCUGCGAAAAGCUUUGGAGAGGCGCAAACAGCCGUUAUAUCCAGAGAUGUCCGAAUGGGGAAACCUAGCUAAGUAAACCUUAGUUAACGUAUGGUGAAUAAAUAGCCAUACGUGGGGAACGUUGGGAACUGAAACAUCUAAGUACCAACAGGAGGAGAAAGAAAAAUCGAUUUCCUAAGUAGUGGCGAGCGAAAGGGAAACAGGCCAAACCUAGUUACAUGUAAUUAGGGGUUAUGGACUGCGUUGUGGCAAGAUUGAGGAUAGCUAAAUUGUCUUGGGAAAGCAAACCGAAGAAGGUGAAAGUCCUGUAAGCGAAAUCUAAUUGAAGCCUAGCAGUAUCCAGAGUACCACGAGACACGAGAAACCUUGUGGGAAGUCGGCGGGACCACCCGCCAAGCCUAAAUACUCCUCGGUGACCGAUAGCGUAUAGUACUGUGAAGGAAAGGUGAAAAGAACCCCGGGAGGGGAGUGAAAGAGAACCUGAAACUCUAUGUUUACAAGCAGUGGAAGCACUAUAUAUGUGCGACCGCGUACUUUUUGUAGAACGGUCCGGCGAGUUAUUGGUAGUGGCAAGGUUAAAUACUAGAAAGUAUGAAGCCGAAGGGAAACCAAGUCUGAAUAGGGCGAUACAGUCACUGCUAAUAGACCCGAAACUGGGUGACCUAUCCAUGGGCAGGUUGAAGUUACCGUAAAAGGUAAUGGAGGACCGAACUCACGUAUGUUGAAAAAUGCGGAGAUGACUUGUGGAUAGCGGAGAAAUUCCAAUCGAACCCAGAGAUAGCUGGUUCUCCUCGAAAUAGCUUUAGGGCUAGCGUUAAAAAAGUCUAAUGGAGGUAAAGCACUGAAUUUCCUAGGGGGGCGAGAGCCUUACCGAAGAAUAUCAAACUAAGAAUGCCAUAAAGAUAUUUUUAACAGUCAGACUAUGGGUGAUAAGAUUCAUAGUCAAAAGGGAAAGAGCCCAGACCAUCAGCUAAGGUCCCAAAGUGUGUGUUAAGUGGAAAAGGAUGUGAGAUUUCACAGACAACUAGGAUGUUGGCUUAGAAGCAGCCAUACAUUAAAAGAGUGCGUAAUAGCUCACUAGUCGAGAGGUCUUGCGCCGAAAAUGUCCGGGGCUAAAACACACCACCGAAGCUAUGGAAUUAGAGCAAUCUAAUUGGUAGAGGAGCGUCGUAACAUCGAAGAAGCAGUACCGGAAGGAGCUGUGGAGAGGUUACGAGUGAGAAUGCCGGAAUGAGUAGCGAGAUAUAAGUGAGAAUCUUAUAGGCCGAAUAUCUAAGGUUUCCAGGGUAAAGCUGAUCUGCCCUGGGUAAGUCGGGACCUAAGGCGAGGACGAAAGUCGUAGUCGAUGGACAACUGGUUGAAAUUCCAGUACUACCUAUUAUCAGAACUGCAGGGACGCAGAAGGAUAGGGAAGGCGCAGAAUGGAAAGCUGCGUGUAAAUGCAAAGUUGCACCUCUUAGGAAAAACCAAGAGGCGAGAAUGAAGCAUGAUACGGACCGAAAUAAAGUAGGGAAGUUCCCAAAUCCACGCUGCCAAGAAAAGCUGCUAUAGCGUAAUAGGUACCCGUACCGCAAACCGACACAGGUAGAUGAGGAGAGAAUCCUAAGGCCGACGGGAGAAGUGUUGUUAAGGAACUCGGCAAAAUGACCCCGUAACUUAGGGAGAAGGGGUGCCAGAGAAAUCUGGCCGCAGAGAAUAGGCCCAAGCAACUGUUUAGCAAAAACACAGGUCUCUGCUAAAUCGAAAGAUGAAGUAUAGGGGCUGACGCCUGCCCGGUGCUGGAAGGUUAAGGGGAGAGGUUAGGAAACGAAGCUUUGAACUUAAGCCCCAGUAAACGGCGGCCGUAACUAUAACGGUCCUAAGGUAGCGAAAUUCCUUGUCAGGUAAGUUCUGACCCGCACGAAAGGCGUAAUGAUUUGGGUACUGUCUCGACAGCACGCCCGGUGAAGUUGUAGUACCAGUGAAGAUGCUGGUUACCCGCGACAGGACGGAAAGACCCCGUGGAGCUUUACUGUAGCUUGAUACUGAGAUUGGGUAUUAGAUGUACAGGAUAGGAGGGAGGCGAAGAAGUAGGCACGCCAGUGUCUAUGGAGCCGAUGUUGGGAUACCUCUCUUGUAAUACUUAAUUUCUAACCAUAGGCCGUAAUCCGGUUUUGGGACAAUGUCAGGCGGACAGUUUGACUGGGGCGGUCGCCUCCGAAAGAGUAACGGAGGCGCUCAAAGGUAACCUCAUAAUGGUUGGAAACCAUUAGAAGAGUGCAAAGGCAGAAGGUUGCUUGACUGCGACACCGACGGGUGGAGCAGGUACGAAAGUAGGACUUAGUGAUCCGGUGGUAUGAAAGUGGGAUUGCCAUCGCUCAACGGAUAAAAGCUACCCCGGGGAUAACAGGCUUAUCUCCCCCAAGAGUUCACAUCGACGGGGAGGUUUGGCACCUCGAUGUCGGCUCAUCGCAUCCUGGAGCUGAAGCAGGUUCCAAGGGUUGGGCUGUUCGCCCAUUAAAGCGGUACGCGAGCUGGGUUCAGAACGUCGUGAGACAGUUCGGUCCCUAUCCGUCGUGGGCGUAGGAAAUUUGAGAGGAGCUGUCCUUAGUACGAGAGGACCGGGAUGGACGGACCGCUGGUGCAUCUGUUAGACUGCCAAGUCUAUAGCAGAGUAGCCAAGUCUGGAUUUGAUAAACGCUGAAGGCAUCUAAGCGUGAAACAGACCUCAAGAUAAGAUUUCCCAUCUGAAAAGAGUAAGACCCCUUGUAGACUACAAGGUUGAUAGGUUGGAGGUGUAAGUGUGGUAACACAUGAAGCUGACCAAUACUAAUGGUUCGAGGGUUUGACCUAUA
Molecule: ribosomal RNA, 2899 nt
Filed under: Candidatus Parepulonipiscium sp. PG-Nuni2H_MBin01
Lineage: Bacteria; Bacillati; Bacillota; Clostridia; Lachnospirales; Lachnospiraceae
Description: bacterial LSU rRNA
Rfam family: Bacterial large subunit ribosomal RNA
Source: RNAcentral